GCGAAGGGCGGCAGCCUACACAUGCAAGUCGAGCGGUAGCACAGAGAGCUUGCUCUCGGGUGACGAGCGGCGGACGGGUGAGUAAUGUCUGGGAAACUGCCUGAUGGAGGGGGAUAACUACUGGAAACGGUAGCUAAUACCGCAUAACGUCGCAAGACCAAAGUGGGGGACCUUCGGGCCUCAUGCCAUCAGAUGUGCCCAGAUGGGAUUAGCUGGUAGGUGGGGUAACGGCUCACCUAGGCGACGAUCCCUAGCUGGUCUGAGAGGAUGACCAGCCACACUGGAACUGAGACACGGUCCAGACUCCUACGGGAGGCAGCAGUGGGGAAUAUUGCACAAUGGGCGCAAGCCUGAUGCAGCCAUGCCGCGUGUGUGAAGAAGGCCUUCGGGUUGUAAAGCACUUUCAGCGGGGAGGAAGGCGGUGAGGUUAAUAACCUCAUCGAUUGACGUUACCCGCAGAAGAAGCACCGGCUAACUCCGUGCCAGCAGCCGCGGUAAUACGGAGGGUGCAAGCGUUAAUCGGAAUUACUGGGCGUAAAGCGCACGCAGGCGGUCUGUCAAGUCGGAUGUGAAAUCCCCGGGCUCAACCUGGGAACUGCAUUCGAAACUGGCAGGCUAGAGUCUUGUAGAGGGGGGUAGAAUUCCAGGUGUAGCGGUGAAAUGCGUAGAGAUCUGGAGGAAUACCGGUGGCGAAGGCGGCCCCCUGGACAAAGACUGACGCUCAGGUGCGAAAGCGUGGGGAGCAAACAGGAUUAGAUACCCUGGUAGUCCACGCUGUAAACGAUGUCGAUUUGGAGGUUGUGCCCUUGAGGCGUGGCUUCCGGAGCUAACGCGUUAAAUCGACCGCCUGGGGAGUACGGCCGCAAGGUUAAAACUCAAAUGAAUUGACGGGGGCCCGCACAAGCGGUGGAGCAUGUGGUUUAAUUCGAUGCAACGCGAAGAACCUUACCUGGUCUUGACAUCCACAGAACUUAGCAGAGAUGCUUUGGUGCCUUCGGGAACUGUGAGACAGGUGCUGCAUGGCUGUCGUCAGCUCGUGUUGUGAAAUGUUGGGUUAAGUCCCGCAACGAGCGCAACCCUUAUCCUUUGUUGCCAGCGGUUAGGCCGGGAACUCAAAGGAGACUGCCAGUGAUAAACUGGAGGAAGGUGGGGAUGACGUCAAGUCAUCAUGGCCCUUACGACCAGGGCUACACACGUGCUACAAUGGCAUAUACAAAGAGAAGCGACCUCGCGAGAGCAAGCGGACCUCAUAAAGUAUGUCGUAGUCCGGAUUGGAGUCUGCAACUCGACUCCAUGAAGUCGGAAUCGCUAGUAAUCGUAGAUCAGAAUGCUACGGUGAAUACGUUCCCGGGCCUUGUACACACCGCCCGUCACACCAUGGGAGUGGGUUGCAAAAGAAGUAGGUAGCUUAACCUUCGGGAGGGCGCUACCACUUUGAUCUUCUGUA
This 1447-nucleotide ribosomal RNA is filed under the name Klebsiella pneumoniae. Its description in RNAcentral is "bacterial SSU rRNA". It matches the Rfam family "Bacterial small subunit ribosomal RNA". Lineage: Bacteria; Pseudomonadati; Pseudomonadota; Gammaproteobacteria; Enterobacterales; Enterobacteriaceae. RNAcentral also lists the same sequence under 1 other name. The record is from RNAcentral.